CUCUAAUAAAAUGGAAAACACUGAAGAAAUGGACAGAUUCCUAGAUACGUAUGAAUUACCAAAGUUGAACGAAGAAGAUCUAAAAAUUCUGAACAAUAUGGUAGAGUUAACCUGACUGAACUACACACUUAGAAAAAGGUUAAAAUGUGGCACAGAACAUCAUGGGAGGAGUACGUGGUGGGGGAAGCCAUUCACUACCUCAUAGCUGGGUGUGAAAGACAAGAAGAGGUAGAGGAAGAGGCUGGGAUCCCGUCAUGCUCUGAAUUGGCGGAUUGGCGAUUGCCAAAGAAACAUCCCCAGCCAAUCAAUAAAUAAUAAUGUUGGAG
Long non-coding RNA from Heterocephalus glaber (naked mole-rat), 326 nucleotides. Lineage: Eukaryota; Metazoa; Chordata; Mammalia; Rodentia; Bathyergidae. The record is from Ensembl.